Xylaria sp. CBS 124048 is the source of this 111-nucleotide non-coding RNA. Lineage: Eukaryota; Fungi; Ascomycota; Sordariomycetes; Xylariales; Xylariaceae. The record is from the annotation of a GenBank genome assembly.
GGCAAGGUGGCCGAGUGGUUAUGGCGGUAGACUCAAGCGCAUAGCUUCCCUGUGGUUAAACUCAGGAUUCUACUCUCGAAAGAGGCAGGGGUUCGAAUCCCCUUCUUGUCA